UACGUAGGGGGCAAGCGUUGUCCGGAAUCAUUGGGCGUAAAGAGCGUGUAGGCGGUUUGACAAGUCCGCUGUGAAAGUCCAGGGCUCAACCCUGGAAUGCCGGUGGAAACUGUCAAGCUAGAGUCCGGAAGAGGCGAGUGGAAUUCCUGGUGUAGCGGUGAAAUGCGCAGAUAUCAGGAGGAACACCUAUGGCGAAGGCAGCUCGCUGGGACGUGACUGACGCUGAGACGCGAAAGCGUGGGGAGCAAACAGG
RNAcentral lists this ribosomal RNA (253 nucleotides) under uncultured bacterium. RNAcentral's name for it is "partial 16S ribosomal RNA". It matches the Rfam family "Bacterial small subunit ribosomal RNA", at positions 524 to 776 of the family's 1533-position model. The record is from RNAcentral.